RNAcentral lists this small RNA (594 nucleotides) under Pongo abelii (Sumatran orangutan). RNAcentral describes it as "processed transcript". Lineage: Eukaryota; Metazoa; Chordata; Mammalia; Primates; Hominidae. The record is from RNAcentral.
ACACAUGUGAAUUCAGCUACCCCCACAUGCUCGCAUCUCUCCAGGAGAGAAACUCAUACUCUCUCACCAGAACUCAGAGUCUUCCUAAUAUUACCAGGUGAUCUGGAAGCCCUCAAAAAAGAAACCAUUGUGCUAAAGGAAGGUUCCGAAUAUAGAGUCAAAAUUCACUUCAAAGUGAACAGGGAUAUUGUGUCAGGCCUGAAAUAUGUUCAGCACACCUACAGGACUGGAGUGAAAGUGGAUAAAGCAACAUUUAUGGUUGGCAGCUAUGGGCCUCGGCCUGAGGAGUAUGAGUUCCUCACGCCAGUUGAGGAGGCUCCCAAAGGCAUGCUGGCCCGAGGCACGUACCACAACAAGUCCUUCUUCACCGACGAUGACAAGCAAGACCAUCUCAGCUGGGAGUGGAACCUGUCGAUUAAGAAGGAGUGGACAGAAUGAAUGCAUCCACCCAUCCCUUUCCCCACCCUUGCCACCUGGAAGAAUUCUCUCAGGCGUGUUCAGCACCCUGUCCCUCCUCCAUGUCCACAGCUGGGUCCCUCUUCAACACUGCCACUUUUCCUUAUUGAUGCAUCUUUUCCCACCCUGUCUCUCAAU